RNAcentral lists this ribosomal RNA (494 nucleotides) under uncultured bacterium. Its description in RNAcentral is "partial 16S ribosomal RNA". It matches the Rfam family "Bacterial small subunit ribosomal RNA", at positions 28 to 507 of the family's 1533-position model. The record is from RNAcentral.
GACGAACGCUGGCGGCGUGCUUAACACAUGCAAGUCGAACGGAAAGGCCUGCUUUCCCUUGUGGAUUGCGGGUACUCGAGUGGCGAACGGGUGAGUAACACGUGAGUGAUCUGCCCCCAACUUGGGUAUAAGCCUGGGAAACUGGGUCUAAUUCCCGAUAGGACUGCAGGGUGGUGCCUGUGGUGGAAAACGAUUUUCUAGUGGUUGGGGAUGAGCUCGCGGCCUAUCAGCUUGUUGGUGGGGUAAUGGCCUACCAAGGCGGCGACGGGUAGCCGGCCUGGGAGGGGGGACGGCCACAUUGGGACUGGGAUACGGCCCAGACUCCUACGGGAGGCAGCAGUGGGGAAGAUAGCACAAGGGGCGGAAGCCUGAUGCAGCGACGCCGCGGGGGGGAUGACGGCCUUCGGGUUGUAAACUCCUUUCGACCGCGAGGAAGCCACCUGGUUGGAAGGGUGGUGACGGUAGUGGUAGAAGAAGCACCGGCUAACUACGUG